GCAAGUCGAGCGAGACCUUCGGGUCUAGCGGCGGACGGGUGAGUAACACGUGGGAUAUCUGCCUCGGGGUGGGGGAUAGCCAGGGGAAACCCUGAUUAAUACCGCAUAUGGCCUACGGGUCAAAGUCUUCGGACGCCUUGAGAGGAGCCCGCGGCCCAUUAUUUAAUCCUAGUUGGUGGGGUAAUGGCCUACCAAGGGUACGAUGGGUAGCUGGUCUGAGAGGACGAUC
This 229-nucleotide ribosomal RNA is filed under the name uncultured bacterium. RNAcentral describes it as "partial 16S ribosomal RNA". It matches the Rfam family "Bacterial small subunit ribosomal RNA", at positions 57 to 305 of the family's 1533-position model. The record is from RNAcentral.